CAGGUGGCCCGGCACCACUGGAGUGGCCUCUGUGAAGCAGAGCUUGUGAGCUGCGGGUGCUCCUGGCCAGGGGAAUGGUCCGGGCUGCUGCCACCACUGACCCCUCCAGGGGAGGUGCUAUCAGGCAAGCUCCAGGGGCCCUCCAGGGACGCGAGGGGGGCUGGCCUGGUCUGGCCAUCAGUCCUCCAGAGGAUACUGUUCCUACCACAGGGGAGAGACCCCAGGCUCGGGAGGCAGGGCCACACUGUUCUGUCGCCUUUCUGAAGGUUCCGGGUGAUCUCUGCAGCCCUUGGUUCAAAUCUGCACACCAGACGUGGGCUCCGGAGAAGUGCAGGAGGGGGCAGGUGCUGGCGGGGAGACCACGGGGCUAGGAGAGAAGGCUGCCGAGACGCUGGCAUUAAGGCUGGGGCCCAAGCCCUAGGCAGAUGUGAGGGGGAUGUGCGUGGGGCGGACCAGGUGACAGUGGUUUUCAGGGACCUCUGCUGCGGGUGUCUGUGUGGAGUGUGAUCCUGGAGAGAGAGGUGUGUGGCUGGGAGACGUCCCCACCAGGGAGGAGGGGCAGAGGGCCCAGAGAGGAGGACAGCCAAGACCACCGUGCGCCAGGCCUCCCGAUGGGCAGCGUGCCCGGGACUAGUGCUCAGCUGACCGGACACAGCAGCCUGCUGCAGCAGGGGCUGGUUUGCUCAUUCAUCUGUGCAUUAAGGAGGGAGCCUGUAAAGGAGAUGAAUGAGUGGUCCUGAUGGCACUCACUGGCCAUCUCCUGUCUGAUGAGUUUCUUUUUUGUCUCCUGACAAGGGAAGGGAGGGCCGUGCUCUCGGCCCUUCAGACAGACCAAAAGCCCUCAGCCUGACAAAAAGACCAGUGGCAUUAGGAAAGGUAGACCAAGCGAGCUCAGUCUACCCGGAUGAGCACAGAGCGCUCUGCCUCGUCCCGAGUCAUAACUACCUGCUGCAGGAAACCCGCUGGCCUUCAUGAGCCAAAUGCAAUGUGAAUUCUCGCAUAACCAUCAAAGCUCACUGAGAGGCGCCCUCUGUUUGGAAGCAGCCGUGCUCUUGUGUGGCCCAGAGACGCUCUGAGGAGUGGAGAGCUGACACACAGGCGGGCUGGGGUCCUGCUGGCUCCUUCAGGCUCCAUCGCACCAAGUUCCCGAGGACCUGUUAGCAGCUGAUCCUGGCCGGGUGAGCAUCCUUCAAGGGGAGAGAAGUCAGGACUGGAAGUUGCAGUGGGAAACCACCAGGUGGCUCAGCAGAGGAAGGAGUGGAUCCCUGGUCCUGGGCAUUUUUCUUUAGGAUUAUUCCAGCCUUCCACGUAAUUCAUCCAUGAACCGUGUCCGAGGACUGAGGUUGUCACUCUGUGCUACUCACUAUCGGCCUUUGUCCAUCCCUGCCCACGACAGCCCAACUGCCAUCUCAGCCUCGCCUGCGUGGCCACACCCCCUGGACCCGUCAGCCCAGACUCGCUUUGGCCAGGCCCCAUCCACUGCCCGCUGCAGUCGAGGUUCGGGGGCGGCCAGGAACGUGUGAGGGGUGCGCUGGGGAAGUUGCCUUGCUCUACAAGAGCCGGCAGCCCCGGGGCCCUGGAGACGCCCACUGGACACAGCUGGAGUGUCGCAGAUCCCCUCGGGGCCUCCUGUGCCCCCUGGUGUGACAGCUCACAGCACCGAGAGUCUCCUUUGUAGCCCUGGCCAGUCAACGGCGUGGUGACCUGACUGCUGUCUGACUCCCCCUUCAGACUCCCUGAGAUAAGCUCCAUGCUGAGUUCGUGGUGCUCACUGCUGUUCCCAAGAUCUGCCGCAGCGCCUGGUACACAGUAGUCGCUCAAUAACUGCAGAAUGAGCACAUGAAGGGCUUGGCAGCUCCAGGGUGAGGUGCCUACCUCCCUCCAUCAGAGCUCUUCCAUUGUACCAUCUGUCCCCCACUGGCCCACAAGCCCCUUGAAGAAAGUGGCCAUACGAUUCGUGUGUAUACACUUGGCACAUGGAAAGUGCUUGACGCAUAGCAAGCGAAGGAUUCGACCAGCCUCCGAAGAUGGGAUCUCAGAGGCAGCCUCGGCUCUCCUUUCUCAGCCCCCUGGCCCCCAUCAAAUUGGGAACCAAGUUCUGUCCACUCUGUCUCAGUGGAGUCCUCAGAGUCUCAGCCCUCCUCCCCGCCCUUCCAUUGGUUAGGUUUGGGUCUGGCUGGAGUGUGAGAACACCCCAAAUCACGGUAACCCAAACAAGUGAGAAGUUCCCCAAAUCCCAAGGGAAUCAGUAUGGGAAAGGUAUGGUGGAUGCACGAUCUUCAAAGACCCACACUCUGUCGUUCCUUCACUCCAUGAGCGCAAGGCUUCAUGGGCCAAAAUGGCUGCUUGAACUCCAGCCAUAACAUAUGCAUUCCAGCCAGCAGGAAGGAAGGAAGAAGGGGGCAUCCCCUCACUUGAAGACACUUCCACUCUCAUCCCAUCGGUUAGAACGUGGUCACUUGCACAUCCAGCUGCAAGGGAGCCUGGAAAAAGUUGUUUUUAUUCUAGGUGGCCAUAGACUCAAUAAAAACGGGAGGGUCUCUUACUAGGGAAGAAGAGAAGGAAAGAUCCAGUGGGAUGGCCAGCACCCUCC
Molecule: long non-coding RNA, 2593 nt
Organism: Equus asinus (donkey)
Lineage: Eukaryota; Metazoa; Chordata; Mammalia; Perissodactyla; Equidae
Source: Ensembl